RNAcentral lists this ribosomal RNA (484 nucleotides) under uncultured bacterium. Its description in RNAcentral is "partial 16S ribosomal RNA". It matches the Rfam family "Bacterial small subunit ribosomal RNA", at positions 30 to 507 of the family's 1533-position model. The record is from RNAcentral.
AUUGAACGCUGGCGGCAGGCCUAACACAUGCAAGUCGAGCGGAUGAAGGGAGCUUGCUCCUGGAUUCAGCGGCGGACGGGUGAGUAAUGCCUAUGAAUCUGCCUGGUAGUGUGGGAUAACGUCCGGAAACGGGCGCUAAUACCGCAUACGUCCUGAGGGAGAAAGUGGGGGAUCUUCGGAUCUCACGCUAUCAGAUGAGCCUAGGUCGGAUUAGCUAGUUGGUGGGGUAAAGGCCUACCAAGGCGACGAUCCGUAACUGGUCUGAGAGGAUGAUCAGUCACACUGGAACUGAGACACGGUCCAGACUCCUACGGGAGGCAGAAGUGGGGAAUAUUGGACAAUGGGCGAAAGCCUGAUCCAGCCAUGCCGCGUGUGUGAAGAAGGUCUUCGGAUUGUAAAGCACUUUAAGUUGGGAGGAAGGGCAGUAAGUUAAUACCUUGCUGUUUUGACGUUACCAACAGAAUAAGCACCGGCUAACUUCGUG